Long non-coding RNA from Liolophura sinensis, 334 nucleotides. RefSeq lists it as uncharacterized. The record is from RefSeq and is a predicted model, not a curated record. NCBI's taxonomy places the organism in Eukaryota, Metazoa, Mollusca, Polyplacophora, Chitonida, Chitonidae. The transcript is spliced from 4 exons.
CUGACUGAAUGACAAUUUAUAGAUCAGCUCCUAAGAAACCUUCCAUAAUGAAACGUCUGGGUGUUUUAACCUUCCUCGUGGCCCUUGGCCUGGUACUUGGGAACGACCGAUGUGCUCCGCUAGGUGGCACGUGCCAGCAUGACAGUAAUUCAUGUUCGGGGCGCUAUCGUUCGAGUCUCUGUCCCGGAAGUGCCCGUAUACGCUGCUGCUUGCCUGCCGACAGGUGUGAUCCGCUAGGUGGAACUUGCCAGAAUGACGGCCUGGAUUGUUCGGGCUCUUACCACAAUGGAUUUUGUCCGGGUAGUGCGUCCAACAGAUGCUGUAUGCCAGAAGG